UACGGAGGAUGCAAGUGUUAUCCGGAAUCACUGGGCGUAAAGCGUCUGUAGGUGGUUUGCUAAGUCCGCUGUUAAAGCUUGAAGCUCAACUUCGAAAAUGCAGUGGAAACUAGUAGACUUGAGUGUGGUAGGGGAGACUGGAAUUCCUGGUGUAGCGGUGAAAUGCGCAGAUAUCAGGAGGAACACCGAUGGCGAAGGCAGGUCUCUGGACCACUACUGACGCUGAUGCACGAAAAGUGUGGGGAUCAAACAGG
Molecule: ribosomal RNA, 254 nt
Filed under: uncultured bacterium
Lineage: Bacteria
Description: partial 16S ribosomal RNA
Rfam family: Bacterial small subunit ribosomal RNA
Source: RNAcentral